CCAGGCAAAAAAAGGAAAAGGUGCAA
This 26-nucleotide small RNA is filed under the name Bombyx mori (domestic silkworm). RNAcentral's name for it is "ovarian small RNA-4773". The record is from RNAcentral. Lineage: Eukaryota; Metazoa; Arthropoda; Insecta; Lepidoptera; Bombycidae.